UGGGGAAUAUUGGACAAUGGGCGCAAGCCUGAUCCAGCAAUGCCGCGUGAGUGAGGAAGGCCUUAGGGUUGUAAAGCUCUUUCGGCGGGGACGAUGAUGACGGUACCCGCAGAAGAAGCCCCGGCUAACUUCGUGCCAGCAGCCGCGGUAAUACGAAGGGGGCGAGCGUUGUUCGGAUUUACUGGGCGUAAAGGGCGCGUAGGCGGCCAUCUUUGUCAGGCGUGAAAGCCCUGGGCUCAACCUGGGAGGUGCGCUUGGGACGGGGUGGCUGGAGAUCGGGAGAGGAGCGUGGAAUUCCCAGUGUAGAGGUGAAAUUCGUAGAUAUUGGGAAGAACACCGGUGGCGAAGGCGGCGCUCUGGACCGAUACUGACGCUGAGGCGCGAAAGCGUGGGGAGCAAACAGGAUUAGAUACCCCCGUAGUCC
RNAcentral lists this ribosomal RNA (424 nucleotides) under uncultured bacterium. RNAcentral's name for it is "bacterial SSU rRNA". It matches the Rfam family "Bacterial small subunit ribosomal RNA", at positions 355 to 796 of the family's 1533-position model. The record is from RNAcentral.